CACGUAGGGUGCGAGCGUUGUCCGGAAUUAUUGGGCGUAAAGAGCUCGUAGGCGGUUUGUCGCGUCUGCUGUGAAAACCCGAGGCUCAACCUCGGGCCUGCAGUGGGUACGGGCAGACUAGAGUGCGGUAGGGGAGAUUGGAAUUCCUGGUGUAGCGGUGGAAUGCGCAGAUAUCAGGAGGAACACCAAUGGCGAAGGCAGAUCUCUGGGCCGUAACUGACGCUGAGGAGCGAAAGCAUGGGGAGCGAACAGG
Molecule: ribosomal RNA, 253 nt
Filed under: uncultured bacterium
Lineage: Bacteria
Description: partial 16S ribosomal RNA
Rfam family: Bacterial small subunit ribosomal RNA
Source: RNAcentral